RNAcentral lists this ribosomal RNA (398 nucleotides) under uncultured archaeon. Its description in RNAcentral is "bacterial SSU rRNA". It matches the Rfam family "Archaeal small subunit ribosomal RNA", at positions 474 to 871 of the family's 1478-position model. The record is from RNAcentral.
CACCGGCGGCUCGAGUGGUAACCGUUAUUAUUGGGUCUAAAGGGUCUGUAGCCGGCCGGAUAAGUCUCUUGGGAAAUCCAGCAGCUCAACUGUUGGGCUUUCAGGAGAUACUGUUCGGCUCGAGGCCGGGAGAGGUGAGAGGUACUUCAGGGGUAGGGGUGAAAUCUUGUAAUCCUUGAAGGACCACCAGUGGCGAAGGCGUCUCACCAGAACGGACCUGACGGCAAGGGACGAAAGCUAGGGGCACGAACCGGAUUAGAUACCCGGGUAGUCCUAGCCGUAAACGAUACUCGCUAGGUGUCGGCCACGGUGCGACCGUUGUCGGUGCCGUAGGGAAGCCGUGAAGCGAGCCACCUGGGAAGUACGGCCGCAAGGCUGAAACUCAAAGGAAUUGACGG